Molecule: transfer RNA, 132 nt
Filed under: Helianthus annuus (common sunflower)
Lineage: Eukaryota; Viridiplantae; Streptophyta; Magnoliopsida; Asterales; Asteraceae
Description: sRNA HanXRQr2_Chr16g0741881
Rfam family: tRNA (bases 2-74)
About the family: Transfer RNA (tRNA) molecules are approximately 80 nucleotides in length.
Source: RNAcentral
UUCCGUUGUAGUCUAGUUGGUCAGGAUACUCGGCUCUCACCCGAGAGACCCGGGUUCAUAUCCCGGCAACGGAACCAGAAUCCCCCUCAGAUGUUGACGAGUCGUUCGUGUCGAGUCUUCUCAUCUUCAGUC